RNAcentral lists this ribosomal RNA (368 nucleotides) under Vibrio sp. RNAcentral describes it as "bacterial SSU rRNA". It matches the Rfam family "Bacterial small subunit ribosomal RNA", at positions 961 to 1328 of the family's 1533-position model. The record is from RNAcentral. Lineage: Bacteria; Pseudomonadati; Pseudomonadota; Gammaproteobacteria; Vibrionales; Vibrionaceae.
GCGAAGAACCUUACCUACUCUUGACAUCCAGAGAACUUAGCAGAGAUGCUUUGGUGCCUUCGGGAACUCUGAGACAGGUGCUGCAUGGCUGUCGUCAGCUCGUGUUGUGAAAUGUUGGGUUAAGUCCCGCAACGAGCGCAACCCUUAUCCUUGUUUGCCAGCGAGUAAUGUCGGGAACUCCAGGGAGACUGCCGGUGAUAAACCGGAGGAAGGUGGGGACGACGUCAAGUCAUCAUGGCCCUUACGAGUAGGGCUACACACGUGCUACAAUGGCGCAUACAGAGGGCGGCCAACUUGCGAAAGUGAGCGAAUCCCAAAAAGUGMGUCGUAGUCCGGAUUGGAGUCUGCAACUCGACUCCAUGAAGUCG